RNAcentral lists this small RNA (112 nucleotides) under mouse gut metagenome. RNAcentral describes it as "drum RNA". It matches the Rfam family "drum RNA". Rfam says of the family: Firmicutes, Bacteroidetes (1 example), Proteobacteria (2 examples), Spirochaetes (2 examples). RNAcentral also lists the same sequence under 1 other name. The record is from RNAcentral.
AGCGUUGAAGUAAGAGGGUGUGCCGGAACGCAUUGUCUUACGGAGCUUUCAGGAGGGGUUGUGCAGUGGAACCUCAAACCGGCGUAGGCUCUUGAGCCGAAAGAAAAUGCUC